RNAcentral lists this unclassified non-coding RNA (146 nucleotides) under uncultured Mycosphaerellaceae. Its description in RNAcentral is "sequence contains ITS1". Lineage: Eukaryota; Fungi; Ascomycota; Dothideomycetes; Mycosphaerellales; Mycosphaerellaceae. The record is from RNAcentral.
CCGAGUGAGGGCCCCGCGCCCGACCUCCAACCCUCUGUGAACGCAACACGUUGCUUCGGGGGCGACCCUGCCGUUCCGUCGGCGCGGCGCCCCCGGAGGCCUCCAAACUCUGCAUCUCUGCGUCGGAGUCACAAGUUAAUUGAACA